This 453-nucleotide ribosomal RNA is filed under the name uncultured bacterium. RNAcentral describes it as "bacterial SSU rRNA". It matches the Rfam family "Bacterial small subunit ribosomal RNA", at positions 29 to 474 of the family's 1533-position model. The record is from RNAcentral.
AUUGAACGCUGGCGGCAUGCCUUACACAUGCAAGUCGAACGGCAGCACGGGGGCAACCCUGGUGGCGAGUGGCGAACGGGUGAGUAAUACAUCGGAACGUGUCCUGGAGUGGGGGAUAGCCCGGCGAAAGCCGGAUUAAUACCGCAUACGCUCUAAGGAGGAAAGGGGGGGAUCUUUCGGGACCUCUCGCUCAAGGGGCGGCCGAUGGCAGAUUAGCUAGUUGGUGGGGUAAAGGCCUACCAAGGCGACGAUCUGUAGCUGGUCUGAGAGGACGACCAGCCACACUGGGACUGAGACACGGCCCAGACUCCUACGGGAGGCAGCAGUGGGGAAUUUUGGACAAUGGGCGCAAGCCUGAUCCAGCAAUGCCGCGUGUGUGAAGAAGGCCUUCGGGUUGUAAAGCACUUUUGUCCGGAAAGAAAACCCCGGCCCUAAUACGGUGGGGGGAUGACG